UAAAAACAUAAAGGUUUAUUCCACUCACCUCUGGAUAGCUCUGACCAGACACUGGGGCAACAGACUCACUGCUGGGGUCCUCGGUUCCUCGGGUUCGAACCUACACAGGUGGACUCAAAUGAGGGACCAACAUACAAGAACAUAACUCUAAACUAUUCCCCAAAAACCCCCCAAAACAUCAUGAAAUAAUCAUAGAAAAACAUGCAAGAAAGGGCUGGACAGGGCACUUUCGGCGGCAGGUUCGGCGGCCGAAAGUCCCUCCAGAGCCGAAAGUCAGGC
This 279-nucleotide long non-coding RNA is filed under the name Manihot esculenta (cassava). RNAcentral describes it as "long non-coding RNA (MESC_LNC002992)". Lineage: Eukaryota; Viridiplantae; Streptophyta; Magnoliopsida; Malpighiales; Euphorbiaceae. The record is from RNAcentral.